This is a non-coding RNA of Camellia sinensis, 1410 nucleotides long. The record is from RefSeq and is a predicted model, not a curated record. Lineage: Eukaryota; Viridiplantae; Streptophyta; Magnoliopsida; Ericales; Theaceae.
UCUAUUCCUCACCAAAUCCAUUCUCUUAACCCAAAUAUAGCACUCAUUCACAAAUCUUAGGGCUAUGAACGGAAGGGUUUCCUUUCGGUUCUCCUCUCUCUCUUUUGGGUGUCGCUGGUUUUGAACCACUUUUCGGUGUCGCUGGCUUGGGCAUCUUUCAGACUCUCUCUGUCCAGCAAUCGCAGUGGUGAACAGCGGAGGACACAAAUCCGGAGCAAAUUGAGGCAAAAAAAUCUAUUUUCAUCAGAAGAAGCUGAAGAACAAGCUAAAAAGGAAUCUGCAAAAACAUUUGUACCUAGUGAGGCUCCAAGUACCCCAGAGGUUCCAAAGGAAGAGCAAGCACCUAAACCAGUUGCUCCGAUGCCAGAGCAAAUUAUAGCUAUCAAGUUGCUAGGUGUUUUUGGAGUGCUGCUGCUAUUUUUGGAGUGCUGCAGCUGCUGUUAGUUGCUAGUUGUUGCUGCAGAAAAUCUGGUGCUGCUACAGAAAUGAAGUGCUGCUAGCUGCUGUUAUUGCUGCUAGUUGCUAGAUAUGAAAAGCUCUGCUAUUCUUUGGGUCAAUUUGGAUGAAGACUCACUCCCUGGGCAGGUUUUACUCUGUGCAUAACUUUGUGGCAAAUCUACAGCAGGUAAGGAAGUCCGUUGGGUUAGGUAGAUGAGUUUGAGUUGGGUGCUUGGGAAUAUGAUUAGUUUGUUCUGCUGAAGAAGUUGGCAUGAUUGCCAUGUUUUUUCUUGCUUUGGAUCAAAUCUUCAGAUUAGAUUUUGGGAAUGCAGGGGAUGGUUUUGGUGAUUGGCCGCUUGUAUCUCUUUUGGUUGUUAUUUGGCUGCUUGUAUUGUUUUUUGGUUGCUUGUAUUUACUGUCUCUUUUACUUUAUUUGUCUUCCUUUCUGUAAUUAUUUAUAUUACAUGAUGAUAAGAUUAAGCCUCUAUCCUAUGUAGCGGUGCACUUGUAUUAGCAGUGUCCGUGGUUCGGUUUAGAACGGUUUACGGUUCGGUUUGGACCCGCCCGCAUCUAUGCGGUUUGGGGAAAAGUCAACCCGCAACCGCCCGCAAUGCGGUUUGCGGUUUGUGCGGAUAGGAAACAACAGUUUGGAAAGGUUUUGUGGAUCUUGUAAUCGAGUUUGAUCUUAAGGUGACUCUUUUCAAAGGCCUGAGAUAGGAAUUGACGAGCAGAUUCGAGAUUUGAUAUGAACAUGUUUGGUAAUUUGGAGAGCAGAGGCUAGCUCAUUUUGUGUUUUUGUUCAUAUUACCUUACCUGUAUUUUGGUUGCGUUGUAAAUUUUAUAUUUUUAUUGGUAUUACAAGACAUGCUUGGUAAUCCGCACUUGAUAUUAUAUUUUUGUUGAUAUUAGUAGAUAUGUUUUUUGUGAAUAUUAGGAGACAUGUUUGGUAAUUCACAUGUAGUUGAUAUUGUA